GAUGAACGCUGGCGGCGUGCCUAAUACAUGCAAGUCGAGCGAACAGACGAGGAGCUUGCUCGUCUGACGUUAGCGGCGGACGGGUGAGUAACACGUGGAUAACCUACCUAUAAGACUGGGAUAACUUCGGGAAACCGGAUCUAAUACCGGAUAAUAUAUUGAACCGCAUGGUUCAAUAGAGAAAGACGGAUUUGCUGUCACUUAUAGAUGGUUCCGAGCCGCAUUAGCUAGUUGGUAAGGUAACGGCUUACCAAGGCAACGAUGCGUAGCCGACCUGAGAGGGUGAUCGGCCACACUGGAACUGAGACACGGUCCAGACUCCUACGGGAGGCAGCAGUAGGGAAUCUUCCGCAAUGGGCGAAAGCCUGACGGAGCAACGCCGCGUGAGUGAUGAAGGUCUUCGGAUCGUAAAGCUCUGUUAUUUGGGAAGAACGAAAGUGUAAUUAACUAUGCACGUCUUGACGGUACCUAAAGAGAAAGCCACGGCUAACUACGUG
Molecule: ribosomal RNA, 497 nt
Filed under: uncultured bacterium
Lineage: Bacteria
Description: partial 16S ribosomal RNA
Rfam family: Bacterial small subunit ribosomal RNA
Source: RNAcentral